This 253-nucleotide ribosomal RNA is filed under the name uncultured bacterium. RNAcentral describes it as "partial 16S ribosomal RNA". It matches the Rfam family "Bacterial small subunit ribosomal RNA", at positions 524 to 776 of the family's 1533-position model. The record is from RNAcentral.
UACGUAGGGGCCGAGCGUUGUCCGGAGUUAUUGGGCGUAAAGAGCGUGUAGGCGGCCAGGUAGGUCUGCUGUGAAAACUCGAGGCUUAACCUCGAGAUGUCGGCGGAAACCAUCUGGCUAGAGUCCGGAAGAGGAGAAUGGAAUUCCCGGUGUAGCGGUGAAAUGCGCAGAUAUCGGGAAGAACACCCGUGGCGAAGGCGGUUCUCUGGGACGGUACUGACGCUGAGACGCGAAAGCGUGGGGAGCGAACAGG